CAAGAUUCCACACUUUCUUCAGCCUUUGACUUCAGCAAGUGCACUGGGAGAGAGAAGUAGAGAGAGGCACACUCCUUAGCUAGUAAGCUGCUACCGUGAGGCAUGGGUUACCAAGUACUGAAGCGGGCCGAGGCGAAACAAAAUGCAACA
Myxocyprinus asiaticus (Chinese sucker) is the source of this 150-nucleotide long non-coding RNA. RefSeq lists it as uncharacterized. NCBI's taxonomy places the organism in Eukaryota, Metazoa, Chordata, Actinopteri, Cypriniformes, Catostomidae. The record is from RefSeq and is a predicted model, not a curated record. The transcript has 3 exons.